ACUUGUGCUCUUCCAUCUGUUUGUCCUCUGUAUCACUGAUUCUGUGUUCUGCCUCAUCCAUCCUUGCCUCCGUGACCUCCAUUUGAAAUUGCAGCUCAGUCACAGCAUUUUUUAUUUCAUCCUGACUAGCUUUUACUACUUUUAUCUCCACAGAAAUGGAUUUUAAUCUAUUUUCGA
Leopardus geoffroyi (Geoffroy's cat) is the source of this 177-nucleotide long non-coding RNA. RefSeq lists it as uncharacterized. The record is from RefSeq and is a predicted model, not a curated record. The transcript has 3 exons. Lineage: Eukaryota; Metazoa; Chordata; Mammalia; Carnivora; Felidae.